This 321-nucleotide long non-coding RNA is filed under the name Lathyrus oleraceus (garden pea). Its description in RNAcentral is "Pisum sativum (pea) long non-coding RNA (PSAT_LNC028003)". Lineage: Eukaryota; Viridiplantae; Streptophyta; Magnoliopsida; Fabales; Fabaceae. The record is from RNAcentral.
UUCUUUUUCUUUGCUCCAUGGUUUCAAGGGUGAUUUCUUUUUCUUGUUUCUUUUCAUAUUUUCACCCUUUCAUAAAAACUCACUUUUCCAAGUUUCUAAUCACAUCUUUUUACUUUACUCUCCCCAACUUUAGAUUUCAAAACCAAAUUUAUUCAAUAAUGCUCCCUACUUAGACAUAAGCAAAAGGCAAAAUUUGCAAACAACUCGGUUUGAGGGUUCAAUUGAUACGAAAGAAAUUAGGAUUCAUUUAUUCCAAAAUUUUCAAUUGAUUUUACAAUUAUCAAUCAAAUGAAUCCUAAAAUAAGCUCAAAGGGGUUUAAC